This is a non-coding RNA of Camelina sativa (false flax), 646 nucleotides long. Lineage: Eukaryota; Viridiplantae; Streptophyta; Magnoliopsida; Brassicales; Brassicaceae. The record is from RefSeq and is a predicted model, not a curated record.
UUUUCAUUUCCUUCGAAAGUUUCGUUUUUAUUUUUUCUUCUUCUCUCGCAAACCUCGAGCAGGCGAAACGACGAGAUUUUUUUCCCUCACCGUCGUUAACUCGUGUCCACCGAUUGUCGUCGUUAACUCGAUCUUUUUUUUUUUCUUGAAAUCGCUCCUCGAUUCUGGUUAAGCUAAUUGCUAGAUUUGGGGUUUAUAUAUUUAGUGGUGAUCGAUCAAUCAAUCAGUUUGAUUGAAUUUAUUAGAAAUCUUGGAUCUUUCGAUAGAAAAUUAUACUUACGAUUGUGUGUGAGCCUCUCUUUAUCUAGAACAUGAUUUGGAUUACUCUGCAUCUAAUAUCAUUUGUCUUAUAAGUAAGUGAAUCCGGGAUCCGUUUCUGCAGGUAAUUUCAGGUUCAAGGAGAUUCUAUCAAGAAGACUUUGAGCUAAACUUCUAGUUUCCUUAACUCAAAAUAAUCAUGGGCUUCUGGACACUGAUGGAAGGAUUGUUGCUAUUCGCAAACGCGCUGGCUAUCCUCAACGAAGACCGUUUUCUAGCUCCCAAAGGAUGGACACUCCCAAAGGAUGGAAACAUAGUAUUAAACAUUCUUAAAUUAUUUAUUAAACAUUAAUCUAUGUAUUUAUUAAUCCAUAUAUUUUUAUGAAUU